Molecule: transfer RNA, 77 nt
Filed under: Klebsiella phage KpGranit
Lineage: Duplodnaviria; Heunggongvirae; Uroviricota; Caudoviricetes; Demerecviridae
Description: tRNA-Asp
Rfam family: tRNA
About the family: Transfer RNA (tRNA) molecules are approximately 80 nucleotides in length. Their secondary structure includes four short double-helical elements and three loops (D, anti-codon, and T loops).
Source: RNAcentral
GCGGCUAUGGUGUUCGGCGGUCAACAUACCGGCCUGUCACGUCGGAGCCACGGGUUCGAAUCCCGUUAGCCGCGCCA